CCAUGAUGAAAUGAAACCAACUAAGCUGGAAUUACCGGCAGACUUCUUGCUGUUGAGACGGUUCUUUCUGAGU
Small nucleolar RNA from Hemicordylus capensis (graceful crag lizard), 73 nucleotides. The record is from RefSeq and is a predicted model, not a curated record. NCBI's taxonomy places the organism in Eukaryota, Metazoa, Chordata, Lepidosauria, Squamata, Cordylidae.